This 520-nucleotide ribosomal RNA is filed under the name uncultured bacterium. RNAcentral describes it as "bacterial SSU rRNA". It matches the Rfam family "Bacterial small subunit ribosomal RNA", at positions 120 to 674 of the family's 1533-position model. The record is from RNAcentral.
GGGAACAUACCCUUUUCUACGGAAUAGCUCUGGGAAACUGGAAUUAAUACCGUAUACGCCCUACGGGGGAAAGAUUUAUCGGGGAAGGAUUGGCCCGCGUUGGAUUAGCUAGUUGGUGGGGUAAAGGCCUACCAAGGCGACGAUCCAUAGCUGGUCUGAGAGGAUGAUCAGCCACAUUGGGACUGAGACACGGCCCAAACUCCUACGGGAGGCAGCAGUGGGGAAUAUUGGACAAUGGGCGCAAGCCUGAUCCAGCCAUGCCGCGUGAGUGAUGAAGGCCUUAGGGUUGUAAAGCUCUUUCACCGAUGAAGAUAGUGACGGUAGUCGGAGAAGAAGCCCCGGCUAACUUCGUGCCAGCAGCCGCGGUAAUACGAAGGGGGCUAGCGUUGUUCGGAAUUACUGGGCGUAAAGCGCACGUAGGCGGAUAUUUAAGUCAGGGGUGAAAUCCCAGAGCUCAACUCUGGAACUGCCUUUGAUACUGGGUAUCUUGAGUAUGGAAGAGGUAAGUGGAAUUGCGAGU